CUACGGGAUGCAGCAGUGGGGAAUAUUGCACAAUGGGGGAAACCCUGAUGCAGCAACGCCGCGUGGAGGAUGACGCAUUUCGGUGUGUAAACUCCUUUUAUAUGUCAAGAAAAUGACGGUAGCAUAUGAAUAAGCACCGGCUAACUCCGUGCCAGCAGCCGCGGUAAUACGGAGGGUGCAAGCGUUACUCGGAAUCACUGGCGUAAAGGACGCGUAGGCGGGUUGGAAAGUCAGGUGUGAAAUCCUACAGCUUAACUGUAGAACUGCACUUGAAACUUCUAAUCUAGAGUAUGGGAGGGGGAGAUGGAAUUAGUGGUGUAGGGGUAAAAUCCGUAGAUAUCACUAGGAAUACCUAAAGCGAAGGCGAUCUCCUGGAACAUUACUGACGCUAAGGCGUGAAAGCGUGGGGAGCAAACAGGAUUAGAUACCCCAGUAGUC
RNAcentral lists this ribosomal RNA (438 nucleotides) under uncultured bacterium. Its description in RNAcentral is "partial 16S ribosomal RNA". It matches the Rfam family "Bacterial small subunit ribosomal RNA", at positions 339 to 795 of the family's 1533-position model. The record is from RNAcentral.